UCCCCGUUCUCCUGGGCAGUCUCUCCAGAGUUCUCGACUUUACGAGUCGUUCCCCUUUCGGGGUUCUACUUCCGUCAUGUCAAGCCUAGGUAAGGUUCUUCGCGUUGCAUCGAAUUAAACCACACGCUCCGCUGCUUGUGCGGGCCCCCGUCAAUUCCUUUGAGUUUUAGCCUUGCGGCCGUACUCCCCAGGCAGGGCACUUAAUGCGUUAGCUACGGCACCGGAGGGGUCGAUACCCCCGACACCUAGUGCCCACCGUUUACGGCGUGGACUAC
This 275-nucleotide unclassified non-coding RNA is filed under the name uncultured Chloroflexota bacterium. Its description in RNAcentral is "uncultured Chloroflexi bacterium contains 16S-23S intergenic spacer region". Lineage: Bacteria; Bacillati; Chloroflexota. The record is from RNAcentral.